This 460-nucleotide ribosomal RNA is filed under the name uncultured bacterium. Its description in RNAcentral is "partial 16S ribosomal RNA". It matches the Rfam family "Bacterial small subunit ribosomal RNA", at positions 338 to 795 of the family's 1533-position model. The record is from RNAcentral.
CCUACGGGAGGCAGCAGUGAGGAAUAUUGGUCAAUGGACGAGAGUCUGAACCAGCCAAGUAGCGUGAAGGAUGACUGCCCUAUGGGUUGUAAACUUCUUUUAUAAAGGAAUAAAACGCGGCACGUGUGCCUUUUUGCAUGUACUUCAUGAAUAAGGAUCGGCUAACUCCGUGCCAGCAGCCGCGGUAAUACGGAGGAUCCGAGCGUUAUCCGGAUUUAUUGGGUUUAAAGGGAGCGUAGAUGGGUUGUUAAGUCAGUUGUGAAAGUUUGCGGCUCAACCGUAAAAUUGCAAUUGAUACUGGAAGUCUUGAGUACAGGUGAGGUAGGCGGAAUUCGUGGUGUAGCGGUGAAAUGCUUAGAUAUCACGAAGAACCCCGAUUGCGAAGGCAGCUUACGAAACUGUGACUGACGUUGAUGCUCGAAAGUGUGGGUAUCAAACAGGAUUAGAUACCCGGGUAGUC